AAACCCACGCUAAUACCGCAUACGUCCUACGGGAGAAAGCGGAGGAUCUUCGGACUUCGCGCUAUCGGAUGAGCCUAUGUCGGAUUAGCUAGUUGGUAAGGUAACGGCUUACCAAGGCGACGAUCCGUAGCUGGUCUGAGAGGAUGAUCAGCCACACUGGGACUGAGACACGGCCCAGACUCCUACGGGAGGCAGCAGUGGGGAAUAUUGGACAAUGGGCGAAAGCCUGAUCCAGCCAUGCCGCGUGUGUGAAGAAGGCUUUCGGGUUGUAAAGCACUUUCAGCGAGGAAGAAAGCCUGGUGGUUAAUACCCAUCAGGAAGGACAUCACUCGCAGAAGAAGCACCGGCUAACUCCGUGCCAGCAGCCGCGGUAAUACGGAGGGUGCGAGCGUUAAUCGGAAUUACUGGGCGUAAAGCGCGCGUAGGUGGCUUGGCACGCCGGUUGUGAAAGCCCCGGGCUCAACCUGGGAACGGCAUCCGGAACGGCCAGGCUAGAGUGCAGGAGAGGAAGGUAGAAUUCCCGGUGUAGCGGUGAAAUGCGUAGAGAUCGGGAGGAAUACCAGUGGCGAAGGCGGCCUUCUGGCCUGACACUGACACUGAGGUGCGAAAGCGUGGGUAGCAAACAGGAUUAGAUACCCUGGUAGUCCACGCCGUAAACGAUGUCGACUAGCCGUUGGGACCUUUAAGGACUUAGUGGCGCAGUUAACGCGAUAAGUCGACCGCCUGGGGAGUACGGCCGCAAGGUUAAAACUCAAAUGAAUUGACGGGGGCCCGCACAAGCGGUGGAGCAUGUGGUUUAAUUCGAUGCAACGCGAAGAACCUUACCUACCCUUGACAUCCUGCGAAUUUGGUAGAGAUACCUUAGUGCCUUCGGGAGCGCAGUGACAGGUGCUGCAUGGCUGUCGUCAGCUCGUGUUGUGAAAUGUUGGGUUAAGUCCCGUAACGAGCGCAACCCUUGUCCUUAUUUGCCAGCACGUAAUGGUGGGAACUCUAAGGAGACUGCCGGUGACAAACCGGAGGAAGGUGGGGACGACGUCAAGUCAUCAUGGCCCUUACGGGUAGGG
Molecule: ribosomal RNA, 1064 nt
Filed under: Halomonas sp. RP34
Lineage: Bacteria; Pseudomonadati; Pseudomonadota; Gammaproteobacteria; Oceanospirillales; Halomonadaceae
Description: bacterial SSU rRNA
Rfam family: Bacterial small subunit ribosomal RNA
Source: RNAcentral